Molecule: unclassified non-coding RNA, 293 nt
Filed under: Hevea brasiliensis (rubber tree)
Lineage: Eukaryota; Viridiplantae; Streptophyta; Magnoliopsida; Malpighiales; Euphorbiaceae
Source: RNAcentral
AAGAAGGUUUACUACAAAAAGAAGUUCCAUUCCUCUUUAUGUUGCUGGGCUUCAGUAUUUUGUGGUGCAUCAGAUGUUGGCCUUGUGCUCCUUUUCACUACUGGGAAAAUUGAAAUAAGGUCUCUGCCAGACUUAUCAUUAAUAAGGGAAUCCUCAAUGAGAGGUUUCACUUAUGCUUCACCAAAGCUGAACUCCUUGCCAGAUAGUUCAAUAUGUUGUUCACAUGAUGGAGAAGUUGUUAUGGUGAAUGGUGAUCAAGAAAUGUUUUUGGUAUCAGUUUUGCUUCAAAAUGA